Molecule: long non-coding RNA, 2144 nt
Filed under: Homo sapiens (human)
Lineage: Eukaryota; Metazoa; Chordata; Mammalia; Primates; Hominidae
Description: HSALNT0296547
Source: RNAcentral
AAUGUCUGCUCUAAGAGAACAAAUUUUGGGACACUGUAUUUUAAAUUUCAGCGAUGUAUUUGCACUCUACUUCUUAUUUUGGGCAUUUAUUUAAAGUCAGAAAAAUGCUAUAACAGUCAUGAUUUUGUCCACAUGGAAGAUAAUAUUUUAUAAUUUACUGUAAGAAAUACUAUAGGGUGCUAUUCAGCAUAUUUUUGGAAUUUUUGGCUGUAGCAACAGAAUGAGCCAAUACUAUCCAAGAAUAGUUUACAGUAGAUGCUGGAAAGAACACAGAACUUGGAGCCCACUUAAAGGAUUUAAGGAAUUCUCUAAUAUGAUUCUUGCAGUGUAUUAGAGCCAGCAUUUCUUUCCCCUGUGAAAAUGAACCCAUGAUUUUAUAAUGUAUGUCAUUGGGAAAAUAUGAAUCAAUUCAUGGAAUUUGAAAUCAGAACAUAGGGAGAAAAAUAGUUCACAAUUUUUUGAUGAUACAAACAGGUAAUAUCCUGUAUAAAUUAGCCUGUGACAUAAAUGGUAAUAUAAUCUGCUUUGUCACACUUUCUUUACAUUGUCCUACAUAUCUGACUUGGAUUUCACCCAUAGGCAUGGUGCCUAAUAUACCCACUUCUGUGGUUGUGGCAAAAAAGCAGCUUAAAGGAUGAUUUACCCACAUUAACUCUCCUCAGUUUAUGAUCUGUAAAAAGAAUUUUACAACAUUCACUCAGGCAAGCUUUUCAAUAGAAUAGAACAAGAAAGUGUGUUUAAGUUGGUUUUUAAAAUAAGUAUCGGGCUAGUUUCAAAAUAAAUUUUGAUUGAGGCUUGCAAGUCAAUUCAUUUUAUAUUCCUUCAUCCCCUCAGUAAGCCCUACUUAUGUACUAGGUACUGUGUUAAGAGGUAGAGAUACAGAAAUAAAGAGUCACUGCCCUGAAGAAGUUUCUUGUUGAGAUGGAGAGAGACAAGUUAACUAUGACCACAGUAGGAUUAUGCUAAAAUUUUUGCUUCAGGAGUUUCAGAAACAUCUGGAGUCCUAGCUUAGAGUUGGAAGGAGGCUAGGAGGUUGGAAGGACUUCCAGAAAGUACGGAAAGUUAAGGGGACUAGCAUUCCAGGAAUAGGAAAGGUAUGUGCAAAGGAAAGAAAGCCAGAAAGUACUGAAGUUUGAGAAAUCAAGGGUUGUCUUAUUCUUUAUCACAAAUACCAAAUGACUUGUUUUGUCCCAAGUCCUAAUAAAGUCAUGAAACAGGUAACAUGAAGGAUUUUUAGUUGUAUUAAAAUAUGAUUUCUAAAAAGCAUUACUUUCCGAGAUUAACUUUUAAGUAUUUUGGCCUUUGUACUAUAUCAUUGAGAUUAUAAACUUGGGGGAGGAAAGAGCUAAAAGAAACGCAGAGAAGCAGAAGGCAAGAGGGAUACAGUGUGAGAAAGCAUGCAGAGAAAGGAAGUGGUUUUACAGAGAUUUACAAGUGAUUUUUUUUCCUUUGCUCCUUCCUUUCCUCCUUUUCUCCUGUCCUGCCCCUUCCCUCCUUCCCUCCUUUCCUGCCCCUUCCCUCCUUCCCUCCUUUCUUCCUAUCUCCCUUCUAUCCCCCCUCCUUUCUCUCUUAUUCCUAAAGAGACCUCCAGAAACUUAUGUGCUGUAGAAACCUACUCCCACUGAUGCAAAAAAAAAGAGCAUGAGGAAUUUGAAGACUGAGAGAUGAGUUGUGUAGCACCAACAUUUUCUUUCUGCCUGACCUUCAUACCUGAUGAAUUAAAAGCAUAGGAUGUUUGGAAGAGUGAGAUAGGGGACACAUUGAAAACAGAGAGGCAAUCUGAAGGCUACCUUGACGCAUCUGCAAAGCUCCCAGAUUCUGACUUUCACAAGACUUGCUUUCUGUUUCUGGGCCUCGCCUAAACAGACUGCCAGUCAUCCGAACCGUGGCAGGAUGGAGAUGUUUGUGUAAGGUAGACUCAAGUUUGCAAGACUCAAGAAGGAAACCACCAAACUAAUUUUACUUUCACUUAAACCAGAUUGAAACCAAGACUUGAAGAAUUAAAAACUUUGACAUUAACCAUUGAUUCACUCCAAUGAAAUAAUUGUGUUAUAGCCAGAAUCAUGGUGAAAUUGGAACAAGGCUUUUGAUGGGAUUUUUAAUUGAGGGACUUAUAUUAAAUUGGAUAUUUUCUUUAAUGAACA